RNAcentral lists this ribosomal RNA (247 nucleotides) under uncultured bacterium. Its description in RNAcentral is "partial 16S ribosomal RNA". It matches the Rfam family "Bacterial small subunit ribosomal RNA", at positions 523 to 769 of the family's 1533-position model. The record is from RNAcentral.
AUACGGGGGGUGCAAGCGUUAUUCGGAUUUACUGGGCGUAAAGCGCGCGCAGGCGGUUUUGUAAGUCAGAUGUGAAAGCCCUGGGCUCAACCCGGGAAGUGCACCUGAUACUGCAAGACUUGAGUAUGGGAGAGGGAAGUGGAAUUCCUGGUGUAGAGGUGAAAUUCGUAGAUAUCAGGAGGAACAUCGGUGGCGAAGGCGACUUCCUGGACCAAUACUGACGCUGAGGCGCGAAGGCGUGAGGAGC